Molecule: ribosomal RNA, 1226 nt
Filed under: Ascomycota sp. L288
Lineage: Eukaryota; Fungi; Ascomycota
Description: eukaryotic LSU rRNA
Rfam family: Eukaryotic large subunit ribosomal RNA (bases 565-1226)
Source: RNAcentral
UUUUUUUUUUGGGAAUAAAUUUAACAAAGUUUCCGUAGGUGACCUGCGGAAGGAUCAUUACUGAGUACCGGGUCUCUCAGGCCCUUACUCCCACCCUUUUGUGUACCCUUACCACAUUCUUCAGUUGCCUUGGCGGGACUCUCCCCCCUCGGACCCCCUAAAACCGGGUCCUUGGGCGGGUGCCCGCCAAGGGAACCCCCCAAAACUCUUUUGAAUUGGGUUGUCUGAGAACAAAACAUAAUAAAUUAAAACUUUCAACAACGGAUCUCUUGGUUCUGGCAUCGAUGAAGAACGCAGCGAAAUGCGAUAAGUAAUGUGAAUUGCAGAAUUCAGUGAAUCAUCGAAUCUUUGAACGCACAUUGCGCCCUUUGGUAUUCCGAGGGGCAUGCCUGUUCGAGCGUCAUUUCAACCCUCAAGCUUCUGCUUGGUAUUGGGCUCUCGUCCGCUUACUGGACGUGCCUGAAACUCAUAGGCGGUUGUGCUCAGCUCCUUAGCGUAGUCAUUUCUUACCGCUCUGGAGGACUGGGUAUGGCCCGCCCGAGAACCCCCAUAUUUCUCAAGUUUUGACCUCGGAUCAGGUAGGGAUACCCGCUGAACUUAAGCAUAUCAAUAAGCGGAGGAAAAGAAACCAACAGGGAUUGCCUCAGUAACGGCGAGUGAAGCGGCAACAGCUCAAAUUUGAAAUCUGGCUUCGGUCCGAGUUGUAAUUUGUAGAGGAUGCUUCGGCUUAUGUACCGGUCUAAGUUCCUUGGAACAGGACGUCACAGAGGGUGAGAAUCCCGUUUGUGGCCGGCACUUCCGCCAUGUGAAGCUCCUUCGACGAGUCGAGUUGUUUGGGAAUGCAGCUCUAAAUGGGAGGUAAAUUUCUUCUAAAGCUAAAUACCGGCCAGAGACCGAUAGCGCACAAGUAGAGUGAUCGAAAGAUGAAAAGCACUUUGGGAAAGAGAGUUAAAAAGUACGUGAAAUUGUUGAAAGGGAAGCGCUUUGCGACCAGACUUGCCCGCGGAUGCUCAAACCGGUCCUUCGGCCGGGUGCAACUCUUUCCGCGGGGUCAGGCCAGCAAUCAGUUUCGGGCGGUCGGAUAAAGGCCUUGGGAAUGUGGCUCCUCUUCGGGGAGUGUUAUAGCCCUUGGUGCAAUACGGCCCGCCUGGGACUGGAGGCCCGCGCUUUCGGCAGAUGCGCAAUCUGGCGUAGGCCUAACGCCCCUUUUUAAAAACCGAAAAAAA